UACCUGUUCGAGCGUCAUUACACCCCUCAAAGAUGCAUCUUUGGCGUUGGGCAAUGCCUAGAGGCAUGCCUCAAAAUCAGCGAUGGUGAUACCCAACCACAGGCGCACAAAUGUCGUUUAGCUGGUGGGGUGUUGCCAAUCAAUUGAUGAAUUUCAAAAAUGUUGACCUCGGAUCAGGUAGGAAUACCCGCUGAACUUAA
Molecule: unclassified non-coding RNA, 200 nt
Filed under: soil metagenome
Description: partial contains internal transcribed spacer 2 and large subunit ribosomal RNA
Source: RNAcentral